AUGAAACUUAUUGGAUGGAACUGCCGAGGACUCGGGAACGGCCCGGCAGUUCGUAGCCUCCUCGAUCUGGGGAGGGUGGAGGAUCCUGAUGUGUUGUUCCUGGCGGAGACAAAAUUGACAGAGAAGGAGCUGGAGAGGUUCCGAUGGACGCUCGGGCUUGCUCACAUGACAGCCUGGAAUCCAGAGGGCCGGAGUAGAGGAGUAGCUUUAUUUUGGAAACGUGGAGUGGAUGUGGCGUUGAGAUCGUAUGGCCGGAGGCAUAUUGAUGUCGAUGUGACAGAGGAGGACGGCAAGGUGUGGAGACAAACUGGAGUGUAUGGCUUGGAGGACGUUGAAGAUCUUAGGGCAGCAACAUCAACAGGGGCGUCCCUGGCAAUGUCUGGGCGAUUACAAUGA
Molecule: ribosomal RNA, 396 nt
Filed under: Triticum aestivum (bread wheat)
Lineage: Eukaryota; Viridiplantae; Streptophyta; Magnoliopsida; Poales; Poaceae
Description: partial small subunit ribosomal RNA
Source: RNAcentral